AUAUUAAACAAAAGAAAAACAAAAUUUCUCCUUUAUGUUCUUCUUCUCUAGCCGAAUAUCACCAUUGUUGAAGAUCAAGAAACAAAUCAAACGGAUCUAAAACGAGGAAAAGUUAAUGUGUCGGGUUAGUCGUCGACUUCGUUUUUACAACUGUAUUUGUCGAGAUCAUUGGAUGCUCGAUCGAUUUGAAUCACGUAAGAGCACAAUCACACUAUCCAUUUGUCAUAUUGGUACUUUUGGUUGUUUUGAAUAACGGUUAUAAAUAGCAUGUACUAGAAGUUUUUAUGUUAUUUAUCAAUGUGAUGUGGUUUAAGUUUAUUUGCCUAUAUGCCUUGAUGUUGGCUUAUAAAUGUAAAUAUGUAAGUAUAUGUUUUGGUCACUUGUGAAUGCCUUGAGAUUUAGAUGGCUCUUGGUUCAUUGAAGUGUGAAUGAAGUGGUUAAAUGAUUGAUGUGUGAUGAAAGUUUAAAGCAUGAAUUUAUGACAUUGGAUU
Gossypium arboreum is the source of this 491-nucleotide long non-coding RNA. RefSeq lists it as uncharacterized. Lineage: Eukaryota; Viridiplantae; Streptophyta; Magnoliopsida; Malvales; Malvaceae. The transcript has 3 exons. The record is from RefSeq and is a predicted model, not a curated record.